RNAcentral lists this ribosomal RNA (683 nucleotides) under Vibrio sp. AmSamHH29. RNAcentral describes it as "bacterial SSU rRNA". It matches the Rfam family "Bacterial small subunit ribosomal RNA", at positions 67 to 750 of the family's 1533-position model. Lineage: Bacteria; Pseudomonadati; Pseudomonadota; Gammaproteobacteria; Vibrionales; Vibrionaceae. The record is from RNAcentral.
CUUCGGGGACGAUAACGGCGUCGAGCGGCGGACGGGUGAGUAAUGCCUAGGAAAUUGCCCUGAUGUGGGGGAUAACCAUUGGAAACGAUGGCUAAUACCGCAUAACACCUUCGGGUCAAAGAGGGGGACCUUCGGGCCUCUCGCGUCAGGAUAUGCCUAGGUGGGAUUAGCUAGUUGGUGAGGUAAUGGCUCACCAAGGCGACGAUCCCUAGCUGGUCUGAGAGGAUGAUCAGCCACACUGGAACUGAGACACGGUCCAGACUCCUACGGGAGGCAGCAGUGGGGAAUAUUGCACAAUGGGCGCAAGCCUGAUGCAGCCAUGCCGCGUGUGUGAAGAAGGCCUUCGGGUUGUAAAGCACUUUCAGUCGUGAGGAAGGUAGUGUAGUUAAUAGCUGCAUUAUUUGACGUUAGCGACAGAAGAAGCACCGGCUAACUCCGUGCCAGCAGCCGCGGUAAUACGGAGGGUGCGAGCGUUAAUCGGAAUUACUGGGCGUAAAGCGCAUGCAGGUGGUUUGUUAAGUCAGAUGUGAAAGCCCGGGGCUCAACCUCGGAAUAGCAUUUGAAACUGGCAGACUAGAGUACUGUAGAGGGGGGUAGAAUUUCAGGUGUAGCGGUGAAAUGCGUAGAGAUCUGAAGGAAUACCGGUGGCGAAGGCGGCCCCCUGGACAGAUACUGACACUCAG